AGUGUCCAGGGAUGGGAAUCGAACCCACAGUGUUCCGCUUACCGGGCAGGUGCCAUGUCAACUAGGCUUAUACAC
This 75-nucleotide transfer RNA is filed under the name Cordylochernes scorpioides. RNAcentral describes it as "tRNA-Thr". The record is from RNAcentral. Lineage: Eukaryota; Metazoa; Arthropoda; Arachnida; Pseudoscorpiones; Chernetidae.